AUAAAUGAAUUUAUUGUAUCUGUAUUCGAAAGGCCGCAUGAAAUAUUAGUUUGCAAAAUAGCCGUGAAAUUCAAAUUUAUCAUGCCAGCCAGAAGCUUUUAGCGCAAUCAUUUUGCUAUUCAAAAACAAUAACUACAAUUUUUGUAGCUGAUUGAUGGCCUAACUGCCGCUGAAUGCCACUAAUCAAAGGCCACUAAUUUAACUAACGACCAGGCAAAAUAGAAAUAAAAUGCACUUUUUUCAUGCCACUUAGGAUGAGGCUUUGCGGCAAGUAAAAAAUAAUUCCUGAAUGCGGCAUUUAUGCAUAGCGGUUGAGUUAGGUCAGCACCGGAAAUUGGUUGAACUGCCACCACACUUAUUAUAUUUGCAUAUUGAAUUUCGCACUCGCACAAAAGCGCGACUAUUUGGUUGUUAAUUGAAAUGCGCGUAGGAUCACGUACGGCGGCGAAAUCGCGAACGAGCGGAAGUAUUUGGCCAGGAUAACGCACCGCCAGGAUAACCGCACAUACAGCCAGACGCGAUAGUACUGAAAGGCAGCGCCCGGAAGAAGGCAACGCCUGGCAUUCGAAGGCGCAACAGCAUCUGGAAUCCGCAGGACAGGGUUGUUGGCGGCGAAACGAGCAAGGACGACGAAGGACGACGACGAGGAACGACGAGUGUCCUUCGGUUGGAUGCUGUUCGUCUGUCCGCUCUCUUAUCACAGCCUGCAGAUUCAGCACGACUGCCGGUCGAAUUGAGGCCGCUUAGUCGUUCAGUAGGUCAGCAACACAGCUGCGUCCCACAAGCACAGGCGCGUCCGGAAUAUUGGGCAGGGCUCAGUUCGCUGGUUACGGGAGGCAAUUUGCAGUUUGUUAUCCUUAUUCGGAAAUGAUCUAUUGAAAUAUCUUCCCAAUUAAAAGUAAACUAACUUAAUUAAUCAUA
Long non-coding RNA from Drosophila yakuba, 921 nucleotides. RefSeq lists it as uncharacterized. Lineage: Eukaryota; Metazoa; Arthropoda; Insecta; Diptera; Drosophilidae. The record is from RefSeq and is a predicted model, not a curated record. The transcript is spliced from 2 exons.